RNAcentral lists this long non-coding RNA (693 nucleotides) under Salmo salar (Atlantic salmon). RNAcentral describes it as "lncRNA (ENSSSAG00000090162.1)". Lineage: Eukaryota; Metazoa; Chordata; Actinopteri; Salmoniformes; Salmonidae. The record is from RNAcentral.
CACACUUUGCAAUAAUCUGAGCACUGCGCCCAGAAAAAUACGCGUUGCGAUACAGACUAGACGUCAUGUUGGGGAGAUCUAAAAUCGAAAAUACUAUGUAAAUAAUCCAUUACCUUUGAUUCUCUUCAUCAGAUGUCACUUCCAGGUAUCACAGGUCCAUAACGAAUGUAGUUUUGUUCAAAAAAGCUCAUUUAUGUCCAAAAAUCUCCGUCUUGUUAGCACAUGAUCUAAGCCAGCCGGACUUCUCGUCAUGAACGAGGGGGAAAAAAUAUAUUUACGUUCGUUCAAACAUGUCAAACGUUGUAUAGCAUAAAUCAUUAGGGCCUUUUUUAACCAGAACAUGAAUAAUAUUCAAGGUGGACGAAUGCAUACUCUUUUAUAACGUAUUGGAACGAGGGUACCCAACAUGAACUCGGGCGCCAGGUGUCUAAUGGGACAUCAUCGUUCCAUGGCUCUUGUUCGGUCAGAUCUCCCUCCAGAAGACUCAAAACACUUUGUAAAGGCUGGUGACAUCUAGUGGAAGCAAUAGGAAGUGCCAAAAUAUUCCUCAGCCCCUGUGUUUUUCAAUGGGAUAGGUUUAAAGGUAAUACAACACAUCAGGUAUCCACUUCCUGUCAGAAAAUGUCUCAGGGUUUUGCCUGCCAAAUGAGUUCUGUUAUACUCAGACACCAUUCAAACAGUUUUAGAAAAUUU